This 373-nucleotide ribosomal RNA is filed under the name uncultured bacterium. Its description in RNAcentral is "bacterial SSU rRNA". It matches the Rfam family "Bacterial small subunit ribosomal RNA", at positions 525 to 896 of the family's 1533-position model. The record is from RNAcentral.
ACAGGGGGCUCGAGCGUUAAUCGGAAUCAUUGGGCUUAAAGGGUGCGUAGGCGGGUCGCUAAGUGUUCUGUGAAAUCCCCCGGCUCAACUGGGGAAUUGCAGGGCAUACUGGCGGCCUUGAGGCAUGUAGGGGCGGACGGAACUGUAGGUGGAGCGGUGAAAUGCGUAGAUAUCUACAGGAACGCCGAUGGUGAAGACGGUCCGCUGGGCAUGUCCUGACGCUGAGGCACGAAAGCGUGGGGAGCAAACAGGAUUAGAUACCCUGGUAGUCCACGCCCUAAACGAUGUACACUAGAUCGGUGCGGCUCUGACGCCGUAUCGGUCGAAGUAAAAACGAUAAGUGUACCGCCUGGGGAGUACGGUCGCAAGGCUA